UACGAAGGGGCUAGCGUUGCUCGGAAUCACUGGGCGUAAAGGGCGCGUAGGCGGCCAUUCAAGUCGGGGGUGAAAGCCUGUGGCUCAACCACAGAAUUGCCUUCGAUACUGUUGGCUUGAGUAUGGUAGAGGUCAGUGGAACUGCGAGUGUAGAGGUGAAAUUCGUAGAUAUUCGCAAGAACACCAGUGGCGAAGGCGGCUGACUGGACCUUAUGACGCUGGAGGCGCGAAAGCGUGGGGAGCAAACAGG
This 250-nucleotide ribosomal RNA is filed under the name uncultured bacterium. Its description in RNAcentral is "partial 16S ribosomal RNA". It matches the Rfam family "Bacterial small subunit ribosomal RNA", at positions 524 to 776 of the family's 1533-position model. The record is from RNAcentral.